GAUGAAGAACGUAGCGAAAUGCGAUACGUAAUGUGAAUUGCAGAAUUCAGUGAAUCAUCGAAUCUUUGAACGCAUAUUGCGCUCUCUGGUAUUCCGGAGAGCAUGCUUGUUUGAGUAUCAGUAAACACCUCAACUUCCAUAUCUUUUUUGAAAUGGGAGUUGGACUUGAGUGAUCCCAACGCUUUUCCUCACCGAAAAGUGGCGGGUUACUUGAAAUGCAGGUGCAGCUGGACUUUUCUCUGAGCUAUAAGCAUAUCUAUUUAGUCUGCCUAAAAAACAGAUUAUUACCUUUGCUGCAGCUAACAUAAAGGAGAUUAGUUCUUGUGAUGACUGAUGCAGGAUUCACAAAGACAGGCUUCGGCCGACUUUGUAAACUCGAUCUCAAAUCAAGUAAGACUACCCGCUGAACUUAAGCAUAUCAAAGCGGAGGA
RNAcentral lists this unclassified non-coding RNA (431 nucleotides) under soil metagenome. RNAcentral describes it as "partial contains 5.8S ribosomal RNA, internal transcribed spacer 2, and large subunit ribosomal RNA". The stretch from base 1 to 120 matches the Rfam family "5.8S ribosomal RNA", at positions 35 to 154 of the family's 154-position model. The record is from RNAcentral.